AAUUUUGGACAAUGGGGGCAACCCUGAUCCAGCCAUUCCGCGUGAGUGAAGAAGGCCUUCGGGUUGUAAAGCUCUUUCGCAAGGGAAGAAAACUUAUGAUCGAAUAAAUCAUGAGGUUGACGGUACCUUGAUAAGAAGCACCGGCUAACUACGUGCCAGCAGCCGCGGUAAUACGUAGGGUGCGAGCGUUAAUCGGAAUUACUGGGCGUAAAGCGUGCGCAGGCGGUUUUGUAAGUCGGAUGUGAAAUCCCCGGGCUCAACCUGGGAACUGCGUUCGAAACUGCAAGGCUAGAGUGUGUCAGAGGGGGGUAGAAUUCCACGUGUAGCAGUGAAAUGCGUAGAGAUGUGGAGGAAUACCAAUGGCGAAGGCAGCCCCCUGGGAUACACUGACGCUCAUGCACGAAAGCGUGGGGAGCAAACAGGAUUAGAUACCCUGGUAGUCCACGCCCUAAACGAUGUCAACUAGU
This 467-nucleotide ribosomal RNA is filed under the name beta proteobacterium enrichment culture clone LiUU-12-46. RNAcentral's name for it is "bacterial SSU rRNA". It matches the Rfam family "Bacterial small subunit ribosomal RNA", at positions 360 to 820 of the family's 1533-position model. Lineage: Bacteria; Pseudomonadati; Pseudomonadota; Betaproteobacteria. The record is from RNAcentral.